CAUCCAUUGUCUAUAUCCUUUGCGUUCCACUUCGGGGAUUGCUCCGGUGCUGCAGGAAAUUCCUCUGGAUGCAUGUAUUUGCUGUUUCCUUCCGCUUUCUUUGUGUUGGAAUUUUAAAUUCGGUGGA
Molecule: long non-coding RNA, 127 nt
Organism: Sander lucioperca (pikeperch)
Lineage: Eukaryota; Metazoa; Chordata; Actinopteri; Perciformes; Percidae
Exons: 3
Source: RefSeq, a predicted model, not a curated record